This 253-nucleotide ribosomal RNA is filed under the name uncultured bacterium. RNAcentral's name for it is "partial 16S ribosomal RNA". It matches the Rfam family "Bacterial small subunit ribosomal RNA", at positions 524 to 776 of the family's 1533-position model. The record is from RNAcentral.
AACGUAGGGGGCCAGCGUUGCUCGGAAUUACUGGGCGUAAAGGGUCCGUAGGCGGUGUGGCAAGUCGGAAGUGAAAUCUCAGGGCUUAACCCUGAGGCUGCUAACGAAACUGCUGUGCUAGAGUGUGAGAGAGGCGAGUGGAAUUACGGGUGUAGCGGUGAAAUGCGUAGAUAUCCGUAGGAACAUCCGAGGCGAAGGCGGCUCGCUGGAUCACAACUGACGCUGAGGGACGAAAGCUAGGGGAGCAAACAGG